RNAcentral lists this ribosomal RNA (498 nucleotides) under uncultured bacterium. RNAcentral's name for it is "partial 16S ribosomal RNA". It matches the Rfam family "Bacterial small subunit ribosomal RNA", at positions 28 to 523 of the family's 1533-position model. The record is from RNAcentral.
GAUGAACGCUAGCGGCAGGCUUAACACAUGCAAGUCGAGGGGCAGCACGGACUUCGGUCUGGUGGCGACCGGCAAACGGGUGCGGAACACGUACACAAUCUACCUUUAUCUGGGGUAUAGCCCGAAGAAAUUCGGAUUAAUCCCCCAUAAUAUAUUAGAGUGGCAUCACUUCGAUAUUAAAACUCCGGUGGAUAAAGAUGAGUGUGCGUCCCAUUAGCUAGUUGGUAGGGUAACGGCCUACCAAAGCAACGAUGGGUAGCUGGUGUGAGAGCACGACCGGCCACACGGGCAGUGAGACACGGGCCCGACUCCUACGGGAGGCAGCAGUGAGGAAUAUUGGUCAAUGGACGCAAGUCUGAACCAGCCAUGCCGCGUGAAGGGUGAAGGCCUUCAGGGUUGUAAACUUCUUUUAUUGGGGAAGAAAAUUACGGUUUCUACUGUAACCGACGGUACCCAAGGAAUAAGCACCGGCUAACUCCGUGCCAGCCGCCGCUGUAA